RNAcentral lists this ribosomal RNA (253 nucleotides) under uncultured bacterium. Its description in RNAcentral is "partial 16S ribosomal RNA". It matches the Rfam family "Bacterial small subunit ribosomal RNA", at positions 524 to 776 of the family's 1533-position model. The record is from RNAcentral.
UACGAAGGGGGCGAGCGUUGUUCGGAUUUACUGGGCGUAAAGGGCGCGUAGGCGGCCAUCUUUGUCAGGCGUGAAAGCCCCGGGCUCAACCUGGGAAUUGCAUUCGAGACUGCGUAGCUAGGGUGCGGAAGAGGGAAGCGGAAUUUCCGGUGUAGCGGUGAAAUGCGUAGAUAUCGGAAGGAACACCAGUGGCGAAAGCGGCUUCCUGGUCCAGCACCGACGUUCAGGCACGAAAGCGUGGGGAGCAAACAGG